RNAcentral lists this ribosomal RNA (766 nucleotides) under Alexandrium catenella. Its description in RNAcentral is "LSU rRNA". It matches the Rfam family "Eukaryotic large subunit ribosomal RNA", at positions 138 to 856 of the family's 3401-position model. The record is from RNAcentral. Lineage: Eukaryota; Dinophyceae; Gonyaulacales; Pyrocystaceae.
UUGAAUUGUAUUGUGGAAAUGUAUUACCAACAGAGGUGCAGGUGCCAGCCUAUUGAAAUAAAGCGUCAAUGAGGGUGAGAAUCCUGUUUGUCAUGUGCAGCCCUUUGUGCACGGUGUAUAUUUGCUGAGUCACACUCCUUGGCAUUGGAAUGCAAAGUGGGUGGUAAGUUUCAUGUAAAGGUAAACAUGCAAUUGAGACUGAUAGCACACAAGUACCAUGAGGGAAAUAUGAAAAGGACUUUGAAAAGAGAAUUAAAUGAGUUUGUAUUUGCUGAACACAAAGUAAACAGACUUGAUUUGCUUGGUGGGAGUGUUGCACUUGCUUGACAAGAGCUUUGGGCUGUGGGUGUAAUGAUUCUUUCUUUGCAUGCCAGUUUCUAUUUGUACAUCUGAUUACCUUUGCACAUGAAUGAUAAGUCUCCUGUGGGGGGUGGAUUGCAUGUGCAUGUAAUGAUUUGUGUUUUGAUAAAUGUGUCUGGUGUAUGUGUGUGUGUUCCUGUGCUUGGGGAUGCUUCCUUCCUUGGACUUACAAGCCCUGACACACACAUGCUGGCAAAAUGCUUCUGCUUGACCCGUCUUGAAACACGGACCAAGGAGUCUAACAGAUGUGCAAAGUUUGAAGGUGGUAUACCUUUGUGUGCAAUGAAAGUGUCAGCUGGGAUAUGUGCACCAGCACCCAAUUAAUUAGCGGACAGAGGUUUGAGUUGGAGCAUAUCUAUUAGGACCCGAAAGAUGGUGAACUAUGCCUGAACAGAAUGAAUUCAGA